GACGAACGCUGGCGGCGUGCUUAACACAUGCAAGUCGAACGGAAAGGCCCCUUUAGGGGUGCUCGCGUGGCGCACGGGGGAGUAACACGUGAGUAACCUUCCCUUGACUUCGGGGUAACUUCAGGGAACUGGGUCUAAUACCCGCUAGGAAUCCUUGCUGGAUGGUGGGGGUUGGAAAGCUUCUGCGGUUUUGGAGGGACUGGCGGCUUAUCAGCUUGUUGGUGGGGUAGUGGCUUACCAAGGCUUUGACGGGUAGCCGGCCUGAGAGGGCGACCGGCCACACUGGGACUGAGGUAAGGCCCCGACGGCUAAGGGUGGACGAAGGGGGGAAGACUGAACAAUGGGCGGAGGGCGGAUGAAGAAAGGCCGCGGGCGGGAUGACGGUCUUGGGGUUGAAAAAAGCGUUUAGCAGGGGAGAAGAUGGUGGUGACGGUACCUGAAGAAGAAGCACCGGCUAACUACGUG
RNAcentral lists this ribosomal RNA (465 nucleotides) under uncultured bacterium. Its description in RNAcentral is "partial 16S ribosomal RNA". It matches the Rfam family "Bacterial small subunit ribosomal RNA", at positions 28 to 507 of the family's 1533-position model. The record is from RNAcentral.